UUCAGGGACGAAGGCCCAAGUGGGACAGAGUUGACGACAAAAUUAGAACAAACUUACCAGGCCAGUCUCAGAUGUCGGCAACCAGUCAUCCGAGGGAAAUUUGUAGAGGUUUUCAACAGCAGUAUUACACAUAGAGUGUUUGAGAGACUGCUCUACACAACAUGUUCACAGAACUGGGAACUGAUGGGUGGACACUUCUGGAUCAAACAGUGAAUUGAGGAUGAGAUAGAUUUAGAACUUGGUGUUGCUGCUGAUGAGGCAACACAGAAGGAAUCUCCAAAGAAAGAGAUACAGGACCCAAAACCGAACUUACAGACAUUACUGCAGAGGCAAGCAAAGUUCCUGGAGAAUUGCAGGGAAGUCAAGACUGUUCAGUAUUUGGGGGCUUUAAGCCAGUUGUGUCACAGCUCAGCUGAUCUCAGCCAUGUGUCAUCCCAGUGCAAUACACACAUUUAUGGAGAGUCUAGCCUUCUGUGUUCCACCAGUACAUAUCAGACCAAGUGUACUCAAGUAUUUGGGUCAAACACAUAACCUCUGGUACAGAUCUUGCCUAUUGUUGGAAUAGAUAGCAUUUGAUAAUGCUCCAUCAGGGCCGGUGAAGAGAGGCGGGACCAGUGAAUACGAGUUGGAAAAUUCGAGUUCAGAUGCUCCU
RNA transcript from Mercenaria mercenaria, 652 nucleotides. RefSeq lists it as uncharacterized. The transcript has 5 exons. The record is from RefSeq and is a predicted model, not a curated record. NCBI's taxonomy places the organism in Eukaryota, Metazoa, Mollusca, Bivalvia, Venerida, Veneridae.